GAGGGUAGCUGAUACACGAGUCAGUGGGAUUCUGUAUUUAAACCUUUUAAAAAAUCAGGAAAUCUCUAUAUUACUAUAAUUCCUAUUGAAUUGUGUUCUGUAUAUUCUUAGUGGUGUCGAUCACUAACAUUUGGGGAAAACAUCAAUUCAAUACGUUUCCAUAUAUAUUAUAAUUCUCUUUGUUCAAUACGCUACGAGGGGAAAAAAGAGAGUCAACUGUCACUCAAGAACUGUCUUAACGUAGUGGUUAUAUUCUCUAUGGAACUGUCAAAUCCCCUUCGUUUAUCUUCUCCCAUUAACAAAAGUCUUCAUCAUAAAGACAUUCAACUUUAAUACCCAGAUUAAUACCUCAGUAAUCUGCAGUCUGAAACAACGUGACAUUGGCGGAAUAGCUUCAUAAUCAAGCUCGUCGCCAGUAAUCAAAGAAGAAGAAGAA
Molecule: long non-coding RNA, 436 nt
Filed under: Manduca sexta (tobacco hornworm)
Lineage: Eukaryota; Metazoa; Arthropoda; Insecta; Lepidoptera; Sphingidae
Description: uncharacterized LOC119190866
Source: RNAcentral